This is a long non-coding RNA of Equus quagga, 3067 nucleotides long. RefSeq lists it as uncharacterized. The transcript is spliced from 4 exons. Lineage: Eukaryota; Metazoa; Chordata; Mammalia; Perissodactyla; Equidae. The record is from RefSeq and is a predicted model, not a curated record.
CAAGAGAUUUUUACACCCGUGGUAAGCAAAAUGCAGCAAACAAGACAUAAUAACGGCCUUCGGUGGUCUAUCAGCCAGUUUCCCACCAGGAACGAGGACUUCCCUCCUGCGGACUGCGUCCUGACCCCAAAUCUCACAGCAGAUCUGUGAUAAAGGUGAACUUCACUUAGCCCAGAUCUGACAGACCGUGGGCUCUGCUGAUCUCUACCUUUUGUUGAGCUCAUUCUUAAAAUACUACCUUCCUGCCUGGGCACCGUCUGAGGUGAUGCAUAAUGCUGGAAGAGAGCUAGGGAAGAGGGGGUGAAGCAGUUAAUGAAACCGACAGGUGCUGUCAUGCCCGCUGAAAAGGCUCCAGACUGAGGAUUAGUCGGGCUGGCCCAACAAGCUGGCUAAUUGGCAAGACUGAGACAUUUGGAUCACUGCAGAUCACCUUGCUGUGUAGACAAAAGGAGAAUGCUUGCUGAUGCCUGUUCCGGAUUUAAGGAGACAAAGAACAUAGGAUAACCAAAUAUAAUACAUGAUUCUUGAUUAGACCUAGAUCAGAAAAACAUUGCUAUAAAGGACAUUUUGGAAACAAUUUGGCAGAUGUGUCUUCCCACAGUGGAUGAAGAAGAAAGAGAUGAAUGCACUUGAAGCAUUGAAAGAGGAGGCCCAUGAUGAGAAGGGCUGUCCCUACACUGACCACUGGAGCUGCGUGGCCCUUCAAUCAUUUCAUCAUGAGCCAAGUUCCUGCCAUCCAAACUGAUUUGGUCCAAACUCAUUGGAGUGGCAAAGAAGGCUCUUCAUGAUCCAGCUGCUGGCUCCACCUUCUGCCCCGCCUCCUAUCACUUUCCUACCUCUUUCUCUGAAGCCUGACGCAAGCCACACCAAGUGACGGCAUUUCUUGAGGAUAAGAUGCUCUUGUGACUGUGUCUUACACUUCUAGGAACAACCCCCCCUCCCCCAAACCUUCAGGUUGGGAGAUGGAUACCCCGAUUCUCCGUCCAUUUUUGCCAUCAAUCCUACAGGUGGCCUCAGUUUCUUCCUUUACAAAAUAAGGGGAUUAGAGACUUAGCAGUUGCCAAGUUGUGGCCCAUGGGUCAAAUACAUACUUUGUAUUUGACUGGCCCCACACAAACUUUGACAAGCAUAGUGUUUGUGUGUUUGUGUGAGUCUAUUCCACUCCCCAAGGCAGCUCAGGCCACCACUCUCUCUUCACCUAUGCCCAGCAGCAUACACACUUACAUUAGUACGUGGCCUCUGGGUGCACAUGAAUUGGCCACCAAGAGGCCUGGUGAUCUCUAAGGUUUCCUCCAGUUCUAAUGACAUGUGAAAUAAAUUAACUCCAAAAACACAGGCUCAAGCAGAUGGUAAAUGUGCAAGAAACACACAAAAGACCUCAGCCUCAGGUACCAGAGACCCUAUCAAAUAGUCCUGGAUUGACACCAAGACCUUUACAAAACAGAUUCCCUUGACUGAUCCCAUAUGGCUAAUGAAUUUGCUUUCUUUUACCAUGCGGCUUAGCAGGUAUUAUCACCACCGCUCCCGGGAUGGUCUGUUUUCCACACAAAGCCAAACCGAUUUCUUUACAGAGCACCUGUUCCUUUUGAAGCUGUAACCCAAUGAUCAGUAAUCUUUAUUUUUCUUCCUGAAUAAUAACUUAUACGAGAGAAAAGGAAGACCCUAAUAUUUCUCAUUUUAGCACUGACUAGCAUCUGCAGGCUUCAGCUGCAGUGGAGGAAAUCCGGAGCCAUUUCUCCCCGCCAAUAGCUUUUGACAGGAUUGUUAACCACUGGCUUCCAGCCCACCCAGGGGAAGCGUGUUGUUCCGACUCUGUGGUAUAUGCUCACCUGCUCCCCACAUCCAUUUCCUUUGAUUAGAGAGUAUGACCUUUUCUUUGACCAAAGCCCAUCUCAUCUUAAGCUAGUUUGAAUCUUUCUUACAUGAAACUCAUGCUGCUCAGGUGUGGUAAAAACAACUAAAUCAUCCAAUUUUCCCCAAAGAGAAAAGGCUAUGACACCUGCUAAAGGGCUGGAUCAGAUGGUCUCUUCAGACUCUUCUAGUCUGCUAUUUUCUGAUUCUGCUAUUUUCUGAUUAUGCCAGAACUGUGGAUACUCACAAUAUCUUAUGAAUAAAAAUUACUGAAAAAGAAAUGUGAUUGGCCUACAUUAAGAAAUUCCUCUCCAAAAAUGAAAACAACGAAUCAUUGAGGAUGUAUAUGCAAAACACCAACUUCUGGACCUCAAAGAGGUCAAAGCAAUGCAGAGCUGGAACAUGCAGGGUGGCACCCAGAGAUCUGAGGAUUGUAUUCAGCUGAUGAUACACAGCUACGGAGAGUCAGUCCUGGGAUACUGGGAAGGAUUUGUGACUGCAGAGCUGCGGACCAGAAAUUUAUUUGAAAACGGAGUAAAAACAGAUGAGCUAGUAUCUCAAUAAAUGCUUUCAAUCCUCUGAGAAAUAGCUAAGCUCUUUUAAAGGUUAUAACCAAAUAUAUGAACAUUACUAACCUUGAUCAGCCUUUUGGAAUUGAGCACAUACUAUGACUGAAAACUCAGGGUGGCAUCCAUGCAACCAGAAUUAUCCCAGCUUUCAAUUAACUGCAUUCAUUUGGAAAUUAUCUUUUACUUUCAAAACUCAUUUGGCUAUGCAGUGCCUAAACUAAAGCUUAGAGACUGUGAAAAUUAAUCAACAGAAAUUUCAUUUAAAAUGGAGUGGAGAGGCCGGAAGAGAAAGUUCUCACGCACAUGCCACUCAAUGCGCACUACAGACCCCAACAGAAAGAGAUGUACCUUGCGUCUUCAACAGGAAGUGAUACCACUUUCUACCACAGCAGAAGGAAGGAAGAAAUUCCUCCUUGUCCAGCAACAGCUCAGCCAAUGAGAGACUGCCAUAACUCAGCCAAUGAAAAGCCGCUACACUUUGAACUCCCAGUCUGCUCCAAUGGACUCUUUGUUUACAACAGCACCACCCCCCUCCCCGCACACACACACCCCCUCACCCCACCUCCCACCCCGCCAACUUCUUGAAGGAAGUUUCUCUCCUUUGUUUCUCCAGAUUUGCUCGUGGUUGCACUUCUUUGCAGUUAAUA